GCUUAACGCGAAGAACCUUACCCAGGCUUGACAUCCCUGGAAGGUCUCCGAAAGGAGACUGUGCCUUCGGGAAUCAGGUGACAGGUGCUGCAUGGCCGUCGUCAGCUCGUGUCGUGAGAUGUUUGGUUAAGUCCAUUAACGAGCGCAACCCUUGUAAGUAGUUGAAUUUUUCUACUUAGACCGCCUCGGUAACGGGGAGGAAGGAGGGGAUGAUGUCAGGUCAGUAUUGCCCUUACGCCUGGGGCUACAAACACGCUACAAUGGCCGGUACAAAGGGCAGCCAACCCGCGAGGGGGAGCAAAUCCCAUCAAAACCGGUCCCAGUUCGGAUAGCAGGCUGAAAUUCGCCUGCUUGAAGUCGGAAUCGCUAGUAACGGUGAGUCAGCUAUAUUACCGUGAAUACGUUCCCGGGUCUUGUACACACCG
This 425-nucleotide ribosomal RNA is filed under the name uncultured bacterium. RNAcentral's name for it is "bacterial SSU rRNA". It matches the Rfam family "Bacterial small subunit ribosomal RNA", at positions 954 to 1392 of the family's 1533-position model. The record is from RNAcentral.